Vespula vulgaris is the source of this 1251-nucleotide long non-coding RNA. RefSeq lists it as uncharacterized. The transcript is spliced from 3 exons. The record is from RefSeq and is a predicted model, not a curated record. Lineage: Eukaryota; Metazoa; Arthropoda; Insecta; Hymenoptera; Vespidae.
AGUUUCGUUCUAACGUUAGUAGAAAAUCGCAAAAUAAUUCGUCAAAUAAUUUCUUAAAUGUUAUGUAAAGAAAAAUGUAUACGUUGAUACAUUCGUUGUUAAAUAGUUAAUACGUUUGAUCGUUACACGUAAAUGAGUCAAGGACAAAAAGAGUAUUAUGAUAUAUUAUCUCGAUCCUUCUACUAUCGUGAAAAUUCGUGAAAUCGUGGAUCUUCGUCAGUCGUCAGGCGUUUCUCGCUAUCGCUCUGUGUCCUCCUCGUAAAAUUUUAUCGAGCGUGUAACCGACACCGCUCGACGCGUCGUAUCGUUCGAUUUUAACGACCAUCCCGCGCGCUCGUUUCCCUUUGAAACGCCGUCGAUGAACUUGAAAUUCACGAGAGUACGACAGGAGAGUCGGAAAGGGUUCGAGGAAGUCCGAUUUACCGUUGUUGUGAGUGAAACGCGUAACGCGUUUUCCUUUCCUCUCUUAUACAUUUACUAUUUGAUUUAGCUAGGUAGGGUAAUGAAGAAAACUCGGAAGAUUCUUAAGAAAUCUAGUCGAAAAAUAGUCCAGCUUUAAUCCUUUUAUCCCAACGGCAUAAAUGGGGAAGGUUAUCAAGAUAAAAUGUAAAAGAGCAUCGUCUUCAUUUUGCAUCAAGAAAGUUUUCUUCGGAAUUCGUCGUUGAACGAACACAGACGAGGUACGAUAUCUAUCCACUACGUUGCAACGUUUUGAAAUGGUCAAAGAACGAAGGUACUGCCAACGAAUAGAAUCAAAUAUAUCGAGCUUAACGUUGGAUCGAUUCGCUCGAAUUCCUCUUUUAAAGGACAUCAAUACCCGAUGCUCGCACAAGAAGCUCCCGCGUCCGCAAAGAUCCGCUUGAGGGUAACCCCUACAGAUGGCAGCAGCAAGCAAGAUACUUUGCGUCCGAAUCGAAAGAUAGAAGAGAACGCAGCAGUAAAUGCCUCCGCGUGGUCGUCGAAGUGCAAGCAAAGGCAAGGCUGCCGCACGAAUUAAUAAUUCUCCUUGGCGUCGAGUUACAUGGGCGAAUGCGAAUCGAAUGGUCGAGAGGGAGAGUCUGUGUCUCGUGCAAUGCAGAACAAAGAGGGAAAAAGUAGGAGAAGAAGAGGAGGAAUGACAUCGGAGCGAGAACAAAAAAGGAAGAAAGAAAGAGAUAGAUAGAUAGAUAGAGAGAGAGAGAGAGAGAGAGAGAGAGAGAGAGAGAGAGAGACGUCAGUGGCCAGGGGACGAAGCAUUUGCCAUAAAAGGCC